RNAcentral lists this ribosomal RNA (492 nucleotides) under uncultured bacterium. RNAcentral's name for it is "partial 16S ribosomal RNA". It matches the Rfam family "Bacterial small subunit ribosomal RNA", at positions 29 to 507 of the family's 1533-position model. The record is from RNAcentral.
AGUGAACGCUGGCGGUAGGCCUAACACAUGCAAGUCGAACGGCAGCACAGUAAGAGCUUGCUCUUACGGGUGGCGAGUGGCGGACGGGUGAGGAAUACAUCGGAAUCUACUUUUUCGUGGGGGAUAACGUAGGGAAACUUCCGCUAAUACCGCAUACGACCUACGGGUGAAAGCAGGGGAUCUUCGGACCUUGCGCGAUUGAAUGAGCCGAUGUCGGAUUAGCUAGUUGGCGGGGUAAAGGCCCACCAAGGCGACGAUCCGUAGCUGGUCUGAGAGGAUGAUCAGCUACACUGGAACUGAGACACGGUCCAGACUCCUACGGGAGGCAGCAGUGGGGAAUAUUGGACAAUGGGCGCAAGCCUGAUCCAGCCAUACCGCGUGGGUGAAGAAGGCCUUCGGGUUGUAAAGCCCUUUUGUUGGGAAAGAAAAGCAGCAGGUUAAUACCCCGCUGUUCUGACGGUACCCAAAGAAUAAGCACCGGCUAACUUCGUG